Long non-coding RNA from Haemorhous mexicanus (house finch), 3531 nucleotides. RefSeq lists it as uncharacterized. The record is from RefSeq and is a predicted model, not a curated record. The transcript has 3 exons. Lineage: Eukaryota; Metazoa; Chordata; Aves; Passeriformes; Fringillidae.
UUUGCUUCCAUGCCAGAGGGAAGGGGAAGGACAUCCCCCCAGUCUGUGCCCAGCAAGAUGGCAGUGGCAGCAGGGUUGUCCUGCAGCUGGGGGCCAUGCUGGGCUGGGAGAUGGAGAAGGAGAGAGGGGGAAAGGGGCAGUGACUUCUUCCUCACCUGCCUAGGUAUUCUGGAGCAUCUUACCCACAGUCUUCUCCAUCCAGCCAAGGCUUGGGAAUGACAAAUUCUGUUUUGGGUGAAAAAAAUCAAGGCACCCUACCUGUGUGUAUAGACUGGGACAGUAGAAGCUGGAGAGCAGCUGCCGCAAGGGGCCUGGCGAUCCUGGUCGCUGCCCAUGCGGAUCUGAGUCAGCCGUGCCCUGGAAGCCAGGAGGGCCGUCCGUGUGCUGGAUGGGUGGCACCAAGUUCUGCUGGUGGGCUUCUGAAGUGAAUGUCAGUGCCUUUUCUCGGGAAGUACAACACCUGGGCCCAUUGUUGCUGUGCUGGUGAUGGCCGCCCAGGGGAGGGAAAGAGGGAAAGACCGGCAACAGCUUUCUGUCCUGGCACCUUUCAUGUGGGAGCAAUUCCUGGGCUUACUCAAUUGUGGGAGGUGAGCUCAGGAGGAGGUAAGAGCGAUCUCAAUAACCCACCAUCAAAAUUAGGAGCCCAGUUCCAUGGUCAGCCUCAGAGCUGGGGCAGUUCUCAUGCACAGGAGACACUCCAGGAAUGCCCCUCAUUUCCCCCCGCCUCCGCUCACCUUAUGCAGGUAGAGGAAGGGUGAUGAACCCAAGCAUUAAUCCCCCCACCCCUGUUGCCAUCUGACUGCAGCUGCACCCUGAGCGCCCCAGGGAACUGUUCGUAGAGGUAAGGGAGGAUGUCAUGAGACCCCCCCCUUCACACCAUCUCAUUUCCUCUUUUCCACCCUUCUCCUAUGCCUUUUCCAUAGUACCUUCAAGCUCCCUGAACUCUGUUUGAGGUCCCAGCUCCCUCCCAUUCCCCACAUCAUGGAUCUGAGCUCCCCUAAGAGCUCCUUACCUGUCAGCAAUGGAGAGAGACGGGGAGACUGACUCAAUGAUCCGAAUCCAAUUUUAUUGUGGGAUACAAGCACUUAUAUACUAUUUUAGGGAGACUAGUAAUGUGUUCUACAAUGAUUAGGUUGAAAUCACAUAUACAAACAUGGAUAUAACAACAUCUCUUGCUUGCAGAGUUUAAUAGGAUUUUCUUUUUCCAGUAAACCUGUCUAAUUAAAUCUUCUUGCUAUCUACGUCUAAUUUUCAAAGUUCCGUUUGCUUUUGCCAAGGCAUCCUGUUAUCAAAUCUCUUAUGUUAACCAGGUCCAAAGUCCAUCAUCUGUCUUGUGUCCCCCAACAUUCCAGUACUUACCCACACCUGGAUGUGCUCCCAGUACCACCAGUACCAUGUACAGCCCCAGCUCCCAGAAAAUGGAAAGGAAAGAGGUGAUUGGUGACAGUCAACAUGGCUUUGUAAAGGAGAAAUCAUGCCUGACAGAUUUGGUGACCUAUGGCCAGCCUACAGCAUUGAUGGAUGGGGCAGAGCAGCUGAUGUUUUCUGUCUAAACUUGUGCAAAGCAUUUGACACUGUCCCUCACAACAUCAUUGUCUCCAAAGUGGAGAGACAUGGAUUUGAUGAAUGGAGCACUUGAUUGAUAAAGAACUGUCUGGAUGGCUGCAUGCAAAGUGUUGUGGUCAAUGGCUCAUUGUCCAUGUGGAGAAUAGUGACGAGUGGAGUCCAUACUGGGGCCAGUACUAUUCAGCAUCUAUGUUGGUGAUGUGGACAGAGAGAUUGAGGCACCUGCAGCAUGUUUGCUGAUGAAACUGAGCUGUGUGGUGCAGCACACACUGGAGGGAAGGGGUGGGCAGUCCAGAGGGCCCUUGACAGGCUUGAGAGGUGGGGCUGAUGAAAACCUCAUGAAGUUCAACAAAGCAAAGUGCAAGGCCCUGCACCAGAGUCAUGGCACUCCCAAACACACCAACAGGCUGCAUGGAGAAACAAUCAAGAGUGGUCCUGUGGAGAAAGGCUUCCUGGUGAUGGUAGACGCAAAAGUCAGCAGGUGCUGGCAGUGAGCACUCCCAGCCCAGAAACCAAUUGAGUCUUGGGCUUCAUCCAAAGGUCCGUGGCCAGCAGAUCGAGAGAGGUGACUUUGCCUCUCUACUCUACUGUGAGACCCCACCUGGAAUCCUGAGCACAGGUCUGGUGUCCCCAACAUGAGAAGGAUUUAGAGCUGUCAGAGAAAGUAAAGAGGACGUCAUGAAGUUGGUAAGAGGAUUGGAGCAUCUUCUCUAUGGAGAUAGGCUGAGAGAGCUGGGGCUGUUUAGCCUAGAGAAGGUGAGGUCGUGUGGAGACCUCAGAGCACCUGUGCUGGUUCUGGCUGGGGUGGCUCAGUUUCCUUUGCAUGGGUGGUGGUGGAGCUGUGUUUGGGGUUGUGCUGAACACAGGGCUGAGAACACAGACGUGGGUUUGUCCUUGCUGAGCUUGGCCAGAGCUGAGGCCUUUCCUGCCCCUUAUAUGGCCACAGUGGAGACGGAGUGGGGGUGCAUGGGAAGCUGGGAGGGGUCACAGCCAAGACAGGUGAUCCCAUCUGACCCAAGGGAUAUUCCAGACCUUAUGGCAUCAUACUCAGGAUAGAAAGUAGGGGGAAGGGGGAGGAAGGGGGGGACAUUUGCAGUGGUGGCAUUUGUCUUCCCAAGUCACCAUUCCAUGGGAUGGGGCUGUGCUGUCCUGGAGGCACUGAGCACCUGCCUGCCCUUGGGAAGCAGUGAAUGAAUUAUUUGUUUUGAUUUGCUUGUGUGAUGGUUUUUGCUUUCUGUAUUAAACUGUCUUAAUCUCAACUAACAAGUUUUCCAGCUUUUACCCUUCCAAUUCUCUCCCCAGUCCUGCUGGGGGAAGCAUGAGCUAGCAACUGUGAGGGGUUUUGAAGCUGGAUGGGGUUAAAUCACAGCACUGCCCAAGGUAUUUUUUUACUGAGAAAUACUACAAGUGUUAAGCAGUAGAUGGCAAAUAUCUGUUUGGGAUGGACUUCAGAGAUCAUUCCUUCCAAAUAAGAAAGAAAUGGGAAGUGAAGAGCAGUGUCAGCCAUCACCUUCCAGGCAUGUGGAGAACCCAGGCUACAUAUUUUGGCAAGUAACACCCUUGCAAAGGCCCAUGGUUUGCAGGACUCUAAGCAGUAACAAUGCUUUAGAGCAUUUGCAUAAAUGUAUAAUUUCUCCUUUGUUGUGGUGUGAAGCUCUGCUUCCUCCUUGUUUCCCCCCGCCCUAUUCCUAAUUGCUGUCUGUCAAGUUCCAGCUAGGGCAUCGUGUGAUUGGCAGAAGUUCAAAAGAUGCCUUUCAGACCUGGAGUCAUUGGCCUGUCCAGGUGUCAUUGUCCCCUGAAACCCUCCCCCUCCCACCUGGUUGGUGACUCACCUAUCCUCUCCCUCCCACCUCCCGGUGAGUUUAAAAGGUGCUGGAAACAUGCGGUCGGAGUCUGUCGGAGCUGUACUGAGAUUCAGAACUGUGUCACCUUGGAAUAAACUCUGGAUUUUACCCUCUGGCAGAA